CGCCUUAGAGUUUGAUCCUGGCUCAGAACGAACGCUGGCGGCAUGCCUAACACAUGCAGGUCGAACGGGUGGUAGCAAUACCACCAGUGGCAGACGGGUGCGUAACACGUGGGAACCUGCCCAGAGGUUCGGAAUAGCUGCGGGAAACUGCAGGUAAUACCGAAUGUUGCCUGAGGGCUAAAGGAGCAAUUCGCCUUUGGAGGGGCCCGCGUCGGAUUAGCUAGUUGGUGGGGUAACGGCUCACCAAGGCGACGAUCCGUAGCUGGUCUGAGAGGAUGGCCAGCCACACUGGAACUGAGACACGGUCCAGACUCCUACGGGAGGCAGCAGUGGGGAAUAUUGGACAAUGGGGGAAACCCUGAUCCAGCAAUGCCGCGUGGGUGAUGAAGGCCUUCGGGUUGUAAAGCCCUUUUGGCGGGGACGAUGAUGACGGUACCCGCAGAAUAAGCCCCGGCUAACUACGUGCCAGCAGCCGCGGUAAUACGUAGGGUGCAAGCGUUAAUCGGAAUUACUGGGCGUAAAGCGUGCGCAGGCGGUUAUGUAAGACAGAUGUGAAAUGCCCGGGCUUAACCUGGGAACUGCAUUUGUGGCUGCAUGGCUAGAGUGUGUCAGAGGGGGGUAGAAUUCCACGUGUAGCAGUGAAAUGCGUAGAUAUGUGGAGGAAUACCGAUGGCGAAGGCAGCCCCCUGGGAUAACACUGACGCUCAUGCACGAAAGCGUGGGGAGCAAACAGGAUUAGAUACCCUGGUAGUCCACGCCCUAAACGAUGUCAACUAGUUGUCGGGUCUUAAUUGACUUGGUAACGCAGCUAACGCGUGAAGUUGACCGCCUGGGGAGUACGGUCGCAAGAUUAAAACUCAAAGGAA
Molecule: ribosomal RNA, 866 nt
Filed under: uncultured bacterium
Lineage: Bacteria
Description: bacterial SSU rRNA
Rfam family: Bacterial small subunit ribosomal RNA
Source: RNAcentral